CUGCGGACGGCUCAUUAAAUCAGUUAUCGUUUAUUUGAUAGCACCUACUACAUGGAUAACUGUGGUAAUUCUAGAGCUAAUACAUGCUAAAAAUCCCGACUUCGGAAGGGAUGUAUUUAUUAGAUUAAAAACCAAUGCCCUUCGGGGCUCUCUGGUGAUUCAUAAUAACUGCUCGAAUCGCAUGGCCUUGCGCCGGCGAUGGCUCAUUCAAAUUUCUGCCCUAUCAACUUUCGACGGCUGGGUCUUGGCCAGCCAUGGUGACAACGGGUAACGGAGGGUUAGGGCUCGACCCCGGAGAAGGAGCCUGAGAGACGGCUACUACAUCCAAGGAAGGCAGCAGGCGCGCAAAUUACCCAAUCCCAAUUCGGGGAGGUAGUGACAAUAAAUACUGAUACAGGGCUCUUUUGGGUCUUGUAAUCGGAAUGAGAACAAUUUAAAUCCCUUAACGAGGAACAAUUGGAGGGCAAGUCUGGUGCCAGCAGCCGCGGUAAUUCCAGCUCCAAUAGCGUAUAUUAAAGUUGUUGCAGUUAAAAAGCUCGUAGUUGAACCUUGGGCCUGGCUGGCCGGUCCGCCUCACCGCGUGCACUGGUCCGGCCGGGCCUUUCCCUCUGGGGAGCCGCAUGCCCUUCACUGGGCGUGUCGGGGAACCAGGACUUUUACUGUGAAAAAAUUAGAGUGUUCAAAGCAGGCCUAUGCUCGAAUACAUUAGCAUGGAAUAAUAGAAUAGGACGUGUGGUUCUAUUUUGUUGGUUUCUAGGACCGCCGUAAUGAUUAAUAGGGACAGUCGGGGGCGUCAGUAUUCAAUUGUCAGAGGUGAAAUUCUUGGAUUUAUUGAAGACUAACUGCUGCGAAAGCGUUCGCCAAGGAUGUUUUCAUUAAUCAGGAACGAAAGUUAGGGGAUCGAAGACGAUCAGAUACCGUCGUAGUCUUAACCAUAAACUAUGCCGACUCGGGAUCGGACGAUGUUAUUUUUUGACUCGUUCGGCACCGUAUACGAAAGUAAAGUUUCUGGGU
RNAcentral lists this ribosomal RNA (1014 nucleotides) under Pleurostoma richardsiae. RNAcentral describes it as "SSU rRNA". It matches the Rfam family "Eukaryotic small subunit ribosomal RNA", at positions 87 to 1112 of the family's 1831-position model. Lineage: Eukaryota; Fungi; Ascomycota; Sordariomycetes; Calosphaeriales; Pleurostomataceae. The record is from RNAcentral.